Molecule: transfer RNA, 66 nt
Filed under: Ornithodoros noorsveldensis
Lineage: Eukaryota; Metazoa; Arthropoda; Arachnida; Ixodida; Argasidae
Description: Ornithodoros sp. 2 BJM-2014 tRNA-Met
Source: RNAcentral
UUAUAAAGUAAGCUAAUUAAGCUAGUGGGUUCAUACCCCAAAUAUGAUAAAUCUAUCCUUUAUAAA